GAUGAAGAACGUAUCGAAAUGCGAUAAGUAAUGUGAAUUGCAGAAUUCAGUGAAUCAUCGAAUCUUUGAACGCACAUUGCGCCCGCCAGUAUUCUGGCGGGCAUGCCUGUUCGAGCGUCAUUACAACCCUCAGGCCCCCGGGCCUGGCGUUGGGGAUCGGCGGAGCCCCCCGUGGGCACACGCCGUCCCCCAAAUACAGUGGCGGUCCCGCCGCAGCUUCCAUCGCGUAGUAGCUAACACCUCGCGACUGGAGAGCGGCGCGGCCACGCCGUAAAACACCCAACUCUUCUGAAGUUGACCUCGAAUCAGGUAGGAAUACCCGCUGAACUUAAGCAUAUCAAUAAGCGGAGGA
This 352-nucleotide unclassified non-coding RNA is filed under the name soil metagenome. RNAcentral's name for it is "partial contains 5.8S ribosomal RNA, internal transcribed spacer 2, and large subunit ribosomal RNA". The stretch from base 1 to 120 matches the Rfam family "5.8S ribosomal RNA", at positions 35 to 154 of the family's 154-position model. The record is from RNAcentral.